AGAGGAAGAGAGGUAGAGAGGUAGAGGUAGAGGAAGAGAGGUAGAGAGGGAGAGGUGGAGGAAGAGAGGUAGAGGGAGAGAGGUAGAGGGAGAGAGGUAGAGGUAGAGAGGUAGAGGGAGAGAGGUAGAGGAAGAGAGGUAGAGGGAGAGAGGUAGAGGAAGAGAGGUAGAGGGAGAGAGGUAGAGGAAGAGAGGUAGAGGGAGAGAGGUAGAGGAAGAGAGGUAGAGGGAGAGAGGUAGAGGAAGAGAGGUAGAGGGAGAGAGGUAGAGGGAGAGAGGUAGAGGGAGAGAGGUAGAGGAAGAGAGGUAGAGGGAGAGAGGUAGAGGGAGAGAGGUAGAGGAAGAGAGGUAGAGGGAGAGAGGUAGAGGGAGAGAGGUAGAGGUAGAGAGGUAGAGGGAGAGAGGUAGAGAGGUGGAGGAAGAGAGGUAGAGGAAGAGAGGUAGAGGUAGAGAGGUAGAGAGGGAGAGGUAGAGGAAGAGAGGUAGAGGAAGAGAGGUAGAGGUAGAGAGGUAGAGGUAGAGAGGAAGAGAGGAAGAGAUAGAGAGGAAGAGAGGAAGAGAGGUAGAGGAAGAGAGGUAGAGGAAUCUUUAAAUCUUUAAAAGUGGAAACAAAUUAGACCCAAACAAUUACAGAGGCAUCUGUGUCAGCAGUAACCUGGGAAAGGUAUUCUGCAGCAUCUUAAACACCAGACUGCAAGACUUUCUCAGAGAACAUGACGUCCUGAGCAAAAGCCAGAUUGGAUUCACACCCAAACAGAGAACAGCAGACCAUAUCUACACCCUUCACACCCUCAUCAAUCAAAACGUCCACCAAAACAAGAAGAAAAUCUACUCUUGUUUUGUAGAUUUCAGAAAAGCAUUUGACUCAAUUUGGCAUGAUGGUCUGUUCCUAAAACUAUUAGAGAAAGGUGUAGGAGGGAAGGUCUAUGACAUCAUUAAAACCAUGUACACACAUAUGA
This is a long non-coding RNA of Acanthochromis polyacanthus (spiny chromis), 959 nucleotides long. RefSeq lists it as uncharacterized. NCBI's taxonomy places the organism in Eukaryota, Metazoa, Chordata, Actinopteri, Pomacentridae. The transcript has 6 exons. The record is from RefSeq and is a predicted model, not a curated record.